Molecule: ribosomal RNA, 253 nt
Filed under: uncultured bacterium
Lineage: Bacteria
Description: partial 16S ribosomal RNA
Rfam family: Bacterial small subunit ribosomal RNA
Source: RNAcentral
UACGUAGGGCGCAAGCGUUGUCCGGAAUUAUUGGGCGUAAAGAGCUCGUAGGCGGCUUGUCACGUCGGGUGUGAAAGACCGGGGCUUAACCCCGGUUCUGCAUUCGAUACGGGCUGGCUAGAGUGUGGUAGGGGAGAUCGGAAUUCCUGGUGUAGCGGUGAAAUGCGCAGAUAUCAGGAGAAACACCGGUGGCGAAGGCGGAUCUCUGGGCCAUUACUGACGCUGAGGAGCGAAAGCGUGGGGAGCGAACGGG